This 253-nucleotide ribosomal RNA is filed under the name uncultured bacterium. Its description in RNAcentral is "partial 16S ribosomal RNA". It matches the Rfam family "Bacterial small subunit ribosomal RNA", at positions 524 to 776 of the family's 1533-position model. The record is from RNAcentral.
GACAGAGGGUGCAAACGUUGUUCGGAAUUACUGGGCGUAAAGCGAGUGUAGGCGGUUUGGUAAGUCGGAUGUGAAAGCCCCGGGCUCAACCCGGGAAGUGCACUCGAUACUGCCAAGCUAGAGUAUCGGAGAGGUUGGUGGAAUUCUCGGUGUAGAGGUGAAAUUCGUAGAUAUCGAGAGGAACACCGGUGGCGAAGGCGGUUCUCUGGGCAUGUCCUGACGCUGAGGAGCGAAAGUGUGGGGAGCGAACAGG